CCUACGGGGGGCAGCAGUGGGGAAUAUUGCACGAUGGGGGAAACCCUGAUGCAGCGACGCCGCGUGAGUGAAGAAGUAUUUCGGUACGUAAAGCUCUAUCAGCAGGGAAGAAAAUGACGGUACCUGACUAAGAAGCCCCGGCUAACUACGUGCCAGCAGCCGCGGUAAUACGUAGGGGGCAAGCGUUAUCCGGAUUUACUGGGUGUAAAGGGAGCGUAGACGGCAGCGCAAGUCUGGAGUGAAAUCCCAUGGCUUAACCAUGAAACUGCUUUGGAAACUGUGCAGCUAGAGUGCAGGAGAGGUAA
This 305-nucleotide ribosomal RNA is filed under the name uncultured bacterium. RNAcentral's name for it is "bacterial SSU rRNA". It matches the Rfam family "Bacterial small subunit ribosomal RNA", at positions 338 to 660 of the family's 1533-position model. The record is from RNAcentral.